Molecule: non-coding RNA, 205 nt
Organism: Oryza nivara
Lineage: Eukaryota; Viridiplantae; Streptophyta; Magnoliopsida; Poales; Poaceae
Source: Rfam
AAACAAACAAACCCUGAAUUUCCGUGUCCAACGUUUGACCGUCCGUCUUAUAUGAAUUUUUUUAUAAUUAGUAUUUUCAUUGUUGUUAGAUGAUAAAACAUGAUUAAUACUUUAUGCGUGACUUAUCUUUUUAAUUUUUUCAUAAUUUUUUUAAAUAAGAUGGACAGAUAAACAUUAGACACGAAAACUAAGGAUUUGUCUUUUU